GGCAACGUCGCCGAGCGGUUAAGGCGGAAGAUUAGAAAUCUUUUGGACUCUGCCUGCGCAGGUUUGAGUCCUGCCGUUGUCG
RNAcentral lists this transfer RNA (82 nucleotides) under Babjeviella inositovora NRRL Y-12698. It matches the Rfam family "tRNA". From Rfam's summary of the family: Transfer RNA (tRNA) molecules are approximately 80 nucleotides in length. Their secondary structure includes four short double-helical elements and three loops (D, anti-codon, and T loops). The record is from Rfam by way of RNAcentral. Lineage: Eukaryota; Fungi; Ascomycota; Pichiomycetes; Serinales.